RNAcentral lists this transfer RNA (73 nucleotides) under Sedimentisphaerales bacterium. RNAcentral's name for it is "tRNA-Arg". It matches the Rfam family "tRNA". From Rfam's summary of the family: Transfer RNA (tRNA) molecules are approximately 80 nucleotides in length. Their secondary structure includes four short double-helical elements and three loops (D, anti-codon, and T loops). The record is from RNAcentral. RNAcentral also lists the same sequence under 1 other name. Lineage: Bacteria; Pseudomonadati; Planctomycetota; Phycisphaerae; Sedimentisphaerales.
GUCCCCGUAGCGCAAUGGAUAGCGCGUUGGCCUCCGAAGCCAAAGGUUACAGGUUCGACUCCUGUCGGGGACG